ACCUGCAAUGCUUGGGCACCAUCAUGCAGCUAUAAAAUUGCAGCAGGAAAGGCAAGAGCUUAACGUUGUUUCUAGGAAAUGCAGCUUUUUGUCAGUCUUUACACUAAAUAAUGUCAGCUCAAAAAUUUUCACAAAGAAUUUACCGUAGGUUCCGAAGUGCUCCUACUGAUGCAUAAUAUUUAGCCUUAAUGAUUCAUUAUAUUAAGUAGAAAUAGCACUGGGUCAGGAAUAAAUGCACCAUUUAAUACCUUAGCAGAUUGGGCUAAAGAAGCCAAUGCCCCUAAUGCUUCUUGUUGGAUCGUUUGUUUUCCAUCCUGCAUUUCAAGCAACAAAAAGCUGAGGAAAAUAUUAUCAGUCUCCUGCACUUGUCAAUAGUGAAAUACCUUUGUGAUUUGGUGCUCCAAGAAUUUCCACACAGGUGCACAAGCAGUUAACAAUUUCAUCUAGGUAGAUUUGACAUUCUGUUGAACCAGACGAUUAUGUGAAUGACGAGAUAGUGACAUAACAAAGCAGCCCCAACAAAGCUGAUGAUCAAUCUGUGCAUCCAAAUAAGUAAUUGUUAAUCAUUUCAAUCAAAAAGAAUAACAACGAACCUCGCCUCUUAACUCUGCAUAGUAAACAGACUGAAGUUGUUGGUUUCGUUAGCAAGUUCUUCAUAUGAAAAUUCCACUGAUUUAUCCACUGCGAUUCUUGGGGGCUCUGGAGAAGUACCCUAAUUCAGAGGAUCCCCUUCAAAGCUAUUUUAAUAUCUCAGACUUGAUAAGCUGAAAAAGAUAAAGAUGUCACAUGAGCAGUAAAAUAGGGCUAACCAGUUGAGAGCUGUUUUGCCACACUUAAAAAGAUAUUAGCAGAAACUCAAACGGUUUGAUUUUGCAGUUUCAUGUGUCAACAAAAAAUUUGUCUAUUUACUAAAAUUGUAGAACAACUUAAUGGCAAACCAACCAUUAACCGAUGAAGUUGAAGACGAUUCUUCUACUGGAGCAAAGGGAAGAUGACACAGAGAACAAGGAUAGACAGAGAGAAGAUGAAGAUGGUGACAGGUGUUGGGGAGGGUAAACAUUGAUUUACCAAGAAGGCCCUAAAAGAGGUUGAUAUUACAAAUUCUGAAAGGUAAACUAAAGUGAUAAAAGGCUAAACCAAGGGCAAAAUGUCACCCCAAAAAGUAAAUUC
RNAcentral lists this long non-coding RNA (1170 nucleotides) under Nicotiana tabacum (common tobacco). Its description in RNAcentral is "long non-coding RNA (NTAB_LNC014077)". Lineage: Eukaryota; Viridiplantae; Streptophyta; Magnoliopsida; Solanales; Solanaceae. The record is from RNAcentral.